GAUGAAGAACGUAUCGAAAUGCGAUAAGUAGUGUGAAUUGCAGAAUUCAGUGAAUCAUCGAAUCUUUGAACGCACAUUGCGCCCCUUGGUAUUCCAUGGGGCAUGCCUGUUCGAGCGUCAUUUGUACCUUCAAGCUCUGCUUGGUGUUGGGUGUUUGUCUCGCCUCUGCGCGUAGACUCGCCUCAAAACAAUUGGCAGCCGGCGUAUUGAUUUCGGAGCGCAGUACAUCUCGCGCUUUGCACUCAUAACGACGACGUCCAAAAGUACAUUUUUACACUCUUGACCUCGGAUCAGGUAGGGAUACCCGCUGAACUUAAGCAUAUCAAUAAGCGGAGGA
This 337-nucleotide unclassified non-coding RNA is filed under the name soil metagenome. RNAcentral describes it as "partial contains 5.8S ribosomal RNA, internal transcribed spacer 2, and large subunit ribosomal RNA". The stretch from base 1 to 120 matches the Rfam family "5.8S ribosomal RNA", at positions 35 to 154 of the family's 154-position model. The record is from RNAcentral.